Molecule: ribosomal RNA, 378 nt
Filed under: uncultured bacterium
Lineage: Bacteria
Description: bacterial SSU rRNA
Rfam family: Bacterial small subunit ribosomal RNA
Source: RNAcentral
GUAGUCCAUGCCGUAAACGGUGGGCGCUAGGUGUGGGUUUCCUUCCACGGGAUCCGUGCCGUAGCUAACGCAUUAAGCGCCCCGCCUGGGGAGUACGGCCGCAAGGCUAAAACUCAAAGGAAUUGACGGGGGCCCGCACAAGCGGCGGAGCAUGUGGAUUAAUUCGAUGCAACGCGAAGAACCUUACCUGGGCUUGACAUAUACAGGAUCGCGCCAGAGAUGGUGUUUCCCUUGUGGCUUGUAUACAGGUGGUGCAUGGUUGUCGUCAGCUCGUGUCGUGAGAUGUUGGGUUAAGUCCCGCAACGAGCGCAACCCUUGUCUUAUGUUGCCAGCACGUUGUGGUGGGGACUCGUAAGAAACUGCCGGGGUUAACUCGGA